Long non-coding RNA from Mesoplodon densirostris (Blainville's beaked whale), 2230 nucleotides. RefSeq lists it as uncharacterized. NCBI's taxonomy places the organism in Eukaryota, Metazoa, Chordata, Mammalia, Artiodactyla, Ziphiidae. The record is from RefSeq and is a predicted model, not a curated record. The transcript is spliced from 7 exons.
CUGGAGCUUGACGACCAUAUUUGAAGUGGGUAAGAAGCUGCAAAGGGCCACCUUAAGAAGAUCGCGCAGAGAGUGUGUUCGGGAGAUUGAAGUUCAGAGCCAUAUCACCACAGGCGUUCGUUAGUGGCUGCAUAAACCUGGAAGUUUUCUGAAUUUAAAAUCCGUGAUUCUCCUGCGACUUGUUAAACUAAAAGGGAGAUGCCACUGUGUUGGAAGUUUGACUUCUCAGACUUCCAUGCUGUGAAAAGCCCAACCUAACCACACGGAGGAGCACUGAGGCCUUGGCUAACAGCUCCUGUUGAGCUCCCAGCCAGCAGUCACCCCCAGCUCUCCAGCCAUGUGAAGAAGGCCAUCGUGGAAGUGGAUUCUUCAGCUUCUACUGUAGUUACUUUGGGUGACUCUAUGUAGAGGAGAGAUAGGCUGUUUUCUCUGCUCAGCUCUGCCCAAGUUGCAAAAUACAAUACACGGGCCUAGCCGCUCCGCGGCAUGUGGGAUCUUCCUGGACCGGGGCACGAACCCGUGUCCCCUGCAUCGGCACGCGGACUCUCAACCACUGCGCCACCAGGGAAGCCCUGUCAUUGCCAUCUUUACAGAAAUCGGCAGAAUAGUAAAGCAUCUAGGAGGAGAUUGGUGGUGCCUUCUAAGGGAAGACCAGGAGAGUCUGUCUCUCCCUUCUGAAGCUCCGAGAGUGUCUGGAGUAUGCAGGCCUCUCACUGUUGUGGCCUCUCCUGUUGCGGAGCACAGGCUCCAGCCACGCAGGCUCAGCAGCCAUUGCUCACGGGCCCAGCCGCUCCGCGGCAUGUGGGAUCUUCCCGGACUGGGGCACGAACCCGUGUCCCCUGCAUCGGCAGGCGGACUCUGAACCACUGCGCCACCAGCAGGAUCCUUUGGGAAAAAAACUGUUGGAACUUCACACUGGAGAACUCAAUGUCCCCUUUGAACCCCUCAGGAUGAACACGACAUUCUGCUCACAGCCAGAGGACCCGCAGGACUGGAUCCGCACCUCACCUCAUUUCACAGCCAUUGUUCCUGCGAAUAGGUCUCUCCACAGACCCGCCCCCCCCACUCCUUUCACCUGCUCUUCCUUCAGGCUCAGCUGUCAUCACUUCCCCAGGGACGCCUUCCCAACCUCUCAAGGGCUGCACUUUUCAGUUGCAAUUUUUUACUAAUUGACGUAAUAAUCUGAUUAAACACGAGUCUUCAUGUAGAAUGUAAUUUCCCAUGGAGGCAGGGACCACAUUUCUUCACUAUCACAGCCCUAGUGCUUGGUUCUAAAUACCUGUCCUCAGGACUUCCCUGGCGGUGCAGUGGUUAGGACUCGGUGCUCUCACUGCCGGGACCCCAGGUUCGAUACCUGGUUGGGGCACUAAGAUCCCAUAAACCGAGUGGCAAGGCCAAAACAAAAACAAAAACAAAAACCUGCCCUCGCCUCCAUAUGGCAGGUGUUGGCCAUCAAGCAGUCUUCAGUCAGAGAAUAUGCAGGGUGCUCAGAUAGACCAGAGCUUUGUAAUUAUACCUGGGAGUUCCAUUCAUUUGUUCAUUCAUUCAUUCAUGAUGACAAAUGUAGUUUUAAGUGCCAUUUUGAGCUGUUAAAUUCUGGGCCUAGCUGGAGUCAGCCAGCACAGCAGGCACCGCUGGUAAUGGUUUGAACAUGUCUGAACACUUGGCAUGCCUCACUUCCCUUGGCUCAAUCAAAAUAAACAUCUACUGAACAUGAACUCGGUGCCAGACGUGCCCCUUGUCCUUAAGCAGCUGUGAUCUAGGGAGGAAAGACAGACACAAAACAAGUGACUACAAGUUUAUGAGUUUUACCACGGGGCAUUCGAGUGUGCCAUGGAGACACAGAAGAGGGGGUGCAAGUCUAGUCUAGGGGUUCAGGGGAAAGCUUCCCUGCAGAAGGAAUAUUUGAGCUGAGGUUGAGGAUGAGUAGGAGAUAGAAUAGGCCCUAGGGAGCAGUCCAGGUGAAGGCCAAGGUGAACUUCAGAUGAUAGGGCUAUUUAAUGGGCAGUAGGGAGCAUCCAGUUCAGCCUAAUUCUCCUCCUGUGAGUUGGGGCUUGGCCCAUCCAGCCCGUAUCCAUCCUCUCAGGGGGCGGAUGCUGCACUAAACGGGAGAGGGAGUCGAGUGGCCUGUGUGUGGGUACCUCUCGGGGCCCCCUCCUCUGACUCAGGCAUCACAGGAGCUGUUGUGAAUUCAGCGCCACUCUUGUUGGAGCAAUAUUAAACAUCAUCA